CCAGACUCCUACGGGAGGCAGCAGUGAGGAAUAUUGGUCAAUGGCCGGAAGGCUGAACCAGCCAAGCCGCGUGAAGGACGAAGGUGCCAAGCAUUGUAAACUUCUUUUGUCAAGGGACAAAAUCAGGCUCGAGAGCCUGACCGAGGGUACUUGAAGAAAAAGCAUCGGCUAACUCCGUGCCAGCAGCCGCGGUAAUACGGAGGAUGCGAGCGUUAUCCGGAUUUAUUGGGUUUAAAGGGUGCGUAGGCGGGGCUGUUAGGCAGGGGAAAAAACCCGGGGCCCCACCCCGGGCGAGCCGUUGAAACUGGGGAUCUAGAGUGUGCGAGAGGUAUGCGGAAUGCGUGGUGUAGCGGUGAAAUGCAUAGAUAUCACGCAGAACCCCGAUUGCGAAGGCAGCAUACCGGUGCACAACUGACGCUCAGGCACGAAAGCGUGGGUAUCGAACAGGAUUAGAUACCCCAGUA
Molecule: ribosomal RNA, 464 nt
Filed under: uncultured bacterium
Lineage: Bacteria
Description: bacterial SSU rRNA
Rfam family: Bacterial small subunit ribosomal RNA
Source: RNAcentral